This 399-nucleotide ribosomal RNA is filed under the name uncultured bacterium. RNAcentral's name for it is "partial 16S ribosomal RNA". It matches the Rfam family "Bacterial small subunit ribosomal RNA", at positions 360 to 776 of the family's 1533-position model. The record is from RNAcentral.
AAUAUUGGACAAUGGGCGAAAGCCUGAUCCAGCCAUGCCGCGUGUGUGAAGAAGGCCUUCGGGUUGUAAAGCUCUGUCUUCGCUGACGAUAAUGACGGUCAGCGAGGAGGAAGCCACGGCUAACUACGUGCCAGCAGCCGCGGUAAUACGUAGGUGGCAAGCGUUGUCCGGAAUUAUUGGGCGUAAAGGAUGCGUAGGUGGUCCUUUAAGUGGGAUGUGAAAUCCCUGGGCUUAACCCAGGAAUUGCAUUCCAAACUGGAGGACUAGAGUGCAGGAGAGGAAAGUGGAAUUCCCAGUGUAGCGGUGAAAUGCGUAGAGAUUGGGAGGAACACCAGUGGCGAAGGCGGCUCUUUGGUCUGUAACUGACGCUGAGGCGCGAAAGCGUGGGGAGCAAACAGG